GCUCCGAUAGUGUAGCACGGCCAAUCAUGUCAGACUCUCACUCUGACGACCUGGGUUCAAAUCCCAGUCGGAGCA
Molecule: transfer RNA, 75 nt
Filed under: Candidatus Methanoperedens nitratireducens
Lineage: Archaea; Methanobacteriati; Methanobacteriota; Methanomicrobia; Methanosarcinales; Candidatus Methanoperedentaceae
Also listed under: 1 other name
Description: tRNA-Glu
Rfam family: tRNA
About the family: Transfer RNA (tRNA) molecules are approximately 80 nucleotides in length.
Source: RNAcentral